Molecule: ribosomal RNA, 430 nt
Filed under: uncultured bacterium
Lineage: Bacteria
Description: bacterial SSU rRNA
Rfam family: Bacterial small subunit ribosomal RNA
Source: RNAcentral
UCGAGAGGCUUCCGCAAUGGGGGAAACCCUGACGGAGCGACGCCGCGUGGGUGAGGAAGGUCCUCGGAUCGUAAAACCCUGUCAGGAGGGACGAAAACCGGAUUGGCUAAUACCCUUUCCGCAUGACGGUACCUCCAGAGGAAGCUCCGGCUAACUCCGUGCCAGCAGCCGCGGUAACACGGAGGGAGCAAACGUUGUUCGGAAUUACUGGGCGUAAAGGGCGUGUAGGCGGUUCCUUAAGUCGGGGGUGAAAUCCAGUGGCUCAACCAUUGGCCUGCCUUCGAAACUGGGGAACUUGAGGCCGUGAGGGGAAAGCGGAAUUCCUGGUGUAUCGGUGAAAUGAGUUGAUAUCAGGAGGAACACCAGUGGCGAAGGCGGCUUUCUGGCGCGGUUCUGACGCUGAGGCGCGAAAGCAUGGGGAGCAAACGGG